UCGUUCAUCUCGCUGUGGAACUGGGUGCCGUAGACCGGUUUGUCCUCGAGGCGGAUGGCCUGGAACGGGCACUGCUCGGACUGGGCGAGGUCGAGCCAGCCCGGACCGAGCUCGCUUACCCGAUCGUUGUGGCCGAGCUGAACGUGGAAUCUCUCGGGAAUUUCGGCGAACAGGGGGU
RNAcentral lists this ribosomal RNA (178 nucleotides) under uncultured eukaryote. RNAcentral describes it as "partial small subunit ribosomal RNA". The record is from RNAcentral.